Non-coding RNA from Ciona intestinalis (vase tunicate), 2204 nucleotides. The record is from RefSeq and is a predicted model, not a curated record. Lineage: Eukaryota; Metazoa; Chordata; Ascidiacea; Phlebobranchia; Cionidae.
CCCGCACGGGUUCGAAACCUGUUGGCUACGUUCUUUUCCUAUUUUUUAAGACAAAUAAUGAUCGUACUCGGAACGGUUACGAAAUUAAUUCAUUGUUUGAACCAGAGUCGCCGUGGCCGAGUGGGAAAAUUGCAUGGAAACUAGACCAAGUAAUAACUACAUCGCCUCCAACUGUAGGGUACUAGGGUUUGCAGAUCAAGCAGUUAAAGAUCAGAGAUGUGCGGAUAACAGAUUUAACGACACUAGCUCCUCAUCUUGAUGUGUUGGAAGUUUAACUUGAACUAGCAGGAUCUUUUUAUUCAAAAUCUUAUCAUGCUACAUGAAGCUUUUGAACGAGUAAGAAAUCCGCCAGGUCCUUGUGGAGUUGUAGACAAUGUAGAAUUCUAGAGGAUCUGGUAUUUGGCCUAUUAUCCCAACACCCAGGAAGCUCAUCUUAUUGGUGUGAUCAAUACACUUCGAUUGACAGUUCAGUGACAACACUAACUUAAACAUGUGGAUGCAAGAUAUAUCCAGGAAAAUAAUUGAUCGUCAAGACAAGAUCUAUAUUUGGGGAACUAUGUCGACUAGACAAAGUCAGCUUCAUGAACCUGAAGAACCUCUGUCCAAGUCGAUAACCAAACAUGUGAAGCCGUUAUUCAAAUGUCUCGAUAAAAUAUCAGAACUAAAUUUUGAUAAUUGAUAUGGAAUAUCUUUCCAGCGAUGAUCAUCGUUUAUUGGAGGAGGCAAUUUAACAACUGCAGUCAGGUUUAAAGAUUAUGUUUUAAAUGUGUAUUAGUCCACUGUGUUUGUCUGCAUGUUUAUGUGUUAGACUUGCUUGGUUGUAACAUCAAACUGUAAUUGACUGUUGGAUUUCUGAUAAAACUAAGAUUCCGGAUUUCCAAUUCCAGGUUUAUUUUAUUAAAAACAAAUUGGUACUUACACCGGGCCUAUAAUAUUAAAAUAUCUUACUAUAUUUUACAUGAUUUUAGCUUCAAUGAAUAGAUGAAACAGCAAAAUGUGAUCAUUACAGAAUUAAAUGUAAUUUUAAAAAAAAUAACAUUUUUACUGAUUAUGAACAUUCUGAUGACAAUAGUAGUGAUUUAAAAAAGUACUAACAUGAUUCAGAUUAUAAUGUUACUCAAAAUCGCUGUUCAAAAAAUGUCUUACAGUACCAUAUUUUAUUAAAAAACUCUUAUCAACAGUUCUCCAAACAAUUAUUUAAAAAAAAAGAAAAAUAAUAAUUGGAAAAUAAUAAAGUGGCAACCGUAAAUGUAGAAAUUUGUAGCUGUACCAUUCAACACUUACGUAGUCUUUGUGAAUUAGGUGCCUUCUUGAAAAAAAAGGAUCCGUUAAUUGGGUUAAGUUUUAAAUAGAUCACAACAUACAUACUUACGACGAAACAGAUCACAACAUACAUACUUACCUCUAUGUUGUAAGUAAAUAAAGGUCCCAAUCUGUACUUACAUCUUUAAAUAAAUUCUAUCAAAUAUUCACAAAUUCAAAGAUAAGCAUUAGUUAUGGUUCAUAUUAUUAUAUUUAUGUCUAUUAUGUGGUUAAUUGGCUAUAAUAAAUGAGCAUAACCAAGUACCAUCGUUUUAAAAAUACACCAAGUUUGAAAGGGCAUAGGUUCUCCGUGCAAGAAAAAAUAACAAUGUUUAACAACAGUUUUGCGGUAUGUUUAAAAAAUUACUUACUAUUAUAAGAAACAAACAUAAAAUUAACCGGAUUCUCGGCACAGCAACACGCAUCUGCUACUAUUUAAUUCUUCGUCUGCUACUGCAUAAUUCCCACUGCUACCGGCACUGCUACCCUUAAAUAUGAUAAGCAAACACAUGUUAAUAUUAUUAACCAACUACCACUUUAUUGUUGAAGUAACUCUAAAAACAUUAACUCAGUAAUGAAAGCCAAACCAUUGUAAGAAAACAAGCCUUAGAAAAACUGAACUCUUUGUUCAGUCAGUGCUAUUAUUUACAAAGCUUUUUAGAAAUCCAUUUUGGAAUGUUUUGCUGCGAAACCAUUUUUUCAGUUUCAUUAAUUUUCUUGAACAUAGUCCUUGUAAGUGAGUAUAAAUUACCAUGCAAAUUAUUUGCUGGUACGAUAAAGUUGGUGACAAGUCUUCAAUCUCCAUUGGCUGCUGGUGAUCUUGAAUAUGAUCUUGAUCGACGAGGAGAUGGAGUUGGACUGAAACGAAACAAGGUUUUAAUAUCAAUGCUACACAUAGAGCA